AGUGAACGCUGGCGGUAGGCCUAACACAUGCAAGUCGAACGGCAGCACAGUAAGAGCUUGCUCUUACGGGUGGCGAGUGGCGGACGGGUGAGGAAUACAUCGGAAUCUACUUUUUCGUGGGGGAUAACGUAGGGAAACUUACGCUAAUACCGCAUACGACCUACGGGUGAAAGCAGGGGAUCUUCGGACCUUGCGCGAUUGAAUGAGCCGAUGUCGGAUUAGCUAGUUGGCGGGGUAAAGGCCCACCAAGGCGACGAUCCGUAGCUGGUCUGAGAGGAUGAUCAGCCACACUGGAACUGAGACACGGUCCAGACUCCUACGGGAGGCAGCAGUGGGGAAUAUUGGACAAUGGGCGCAAGCCUGAUCCAGCCAUAUCGCGUGUGUGAAGAAGGCCUUCGGGUUGUAAAGCCCUUUUGUUGGGAAAGAAAAGCAGCAGGUUAAUACCCCGCUGUUCUGGCGGUACCCAAAGAAUAAGCAACGGCUAACUUCGUG
This 492-nucleotide ribosomal RNA is filed under the name uncultured bacterium. RNAcentral's name for it is "partial 16S ribosomal RNA". It matches the Rfam family "Bacterial small subunit ribosomal RNA", at positions 29 to 507 of the family's 1533-position model. The record is from RNAcentral.